RNAcentral lists this small RNA (27 nucleotides) under Bombyx mori (domestic silkworm). RNAcentral's name for it is "ovarian small RNA-1701". The record is from RNAcentral. Lineage: Eukaryota; Metazoa; Arthropoda; Insecta; Lepidoptera; Bombycidae.
CACCGGGAUUGGGGAUAAUGUUGGGGA